RNAcentral lists this ribosomal RNA (246 nucleotides) under uncultured bacterium. Its description in RNAcentral is "partial 16S ribosomal RNA". It matches the Rfam family "Bacterial small subunit ribosomal RNA", at positions 523 to 769 of the family's 1533-position model. The record is from RNAcentral.
AUACGUAGGGAGCGAGCGUUAUCCGGAUUCAUUGGGCGUAAAGCGCGCGUAGGCGGAUCGCUAAGCGGAACCUCUAAUCCGAGGGCUCAACCCCCGGCCGGGUUCCGAACUGGCGGUCUCGAGUGCGGUAGGGGCAAGUGGAAUUCCAUGUGUAGCGGUGGAAUGCGCAGAUAUAUGGAAGAACACCGAUGGCGAAGGCAGCUUGCUGGGCCGUCACUGACGCUGAGGUGCGAAAGCGUGGGGAGC